Long non-coding RNA from Tympanuchus pallidicinctus (lesser prairie-chicken), 11723 nucleotides. RefSeq lists it as uncharacterized. NCBI's taxonomy places the organism in Eukaryota, Metazoa, Chordata, Aves, Galliformes, Phasianidae. The transcript has 3 exons. The record is from RefSeq and is a predicted model, not a curated record.
ACCAUGGCCACAGCCGGAAGUGCCGCGGUACUGCACGCAUGGUACGGCCCUCAGGAGGGGCGGGAUUUCUGGUAGGCUGCCCAAUGGCCGAUUGCUCCUCUGAGAGGCGACCCGGAAGUGGUAACGCGGAAUGGGCGGUGCUCGACCAAUGGUCCCCCCCUGUGUGCGGUCCGGUCGAGCAGCGCCGCUCCCAGCGCAGCGUUCCGCCUCCGGCCCCGCUGGGCUGCUCGCGGGGCUCCGUCCGUUCCGUCCUUGCCCCCGUCACUGGGAUGUGCCGAAACUGCUCGCACGUGGGCCAGGGAAGGCCAGAGAUGGGGAAACGGGUGAAAAUGGGAAGGUGAGCGCUACCUGGCUCCACGAACGGUUCUAUUGAGCCUGUUUGCUCUUGGGUUCAAGGCAGAGAGAUGGGGCUGUUCUGAACGCUGAGCUGGGCGUCAGGGGAAUGUCCUGAACGGGGCAGGUGGUCCCUCGUGAGCUCACACUGCUGCUACGUGCUUGGCUGAUAACACAGAUCUAAAUUCGGUUCUUUAACCCCUCUGUGUGAAGACUGAAAAUGGAGAAAUGAUGCAGUGUGUGAGCGAGGAAUGGUGGGUGCUGAAUUCCUGCAGCAUCCCAUGACAGCAGAGAGAACUGCAGCUCCUGCACGGGCUCUUUGUAGGGAUGCUCACAGGCAGUUUUGGUGACAAAGUGGGGCCUGAAUGACAGCUUCACGCAUCCUCGUUCAGUGAUGGCGCUGUCAGCAGGCCAUGGAGUGCUGCCAGGGGACAGCACAACGCUGCUCGUGCCUUUGGGAUCCAAAGGCCUGAGGGACCGAACACUGUGAGGACCUCCUGCACCACGGGAACGGUGCCUGCAUUCAAACCGGUGCUUUUUUCUGUUCCCUGUGGUGAUGCGUGAGCAGAAGCUACAUUGACAGAGGCAAUCCAGAGACAAAGGCAGGUAAUCCUGGGCGUCUUUCCCUGAGAUAAACAGUAGGGUUUCACGACAGCAAUUUGAAGCAUGGUUUACAUCGGAUAACACUGUUUUGUUCCUCUGCAUUAAGGGAAAUACGCUGGAGCCUGAGUUCACAUCAGUGUGUUUACCAUUAAUAAUGGAUCAAUAGUAGUGGAAAAAGAAGAAUUUGGGAUCUUCCUAAAAAGUCACAUUUCAAGGGGUCUGAUGGUGGUAACAGUUUUCUAUCUCUAGGGCCGCUGUGGAAUGAAAGGAAGGAGUCAAUAAUUUUAUUUAUGUAAAUUAAACUGAAGAACAAAGCCAAGAAGCAGUUGCUUUGUGUCACGGCAGCCUGACUGGAAGCUGUGGUCUGUUCAGUCUCCUGAAAAUCAGAGCUGGAGGAAAAAAAAACAAAACAAAACAAAAAAAUUUCAAACCAUCCUUCUCCCCAAAGUGGAUGAACUGUAGAGUGAUGCACUGUCUUUCUUACAGGACAGCAAUUGCCUGACGUCCAGGCUCCUGGGCUAACUUACCCGGUAUCUGCCAGCUCAUUUCUUUUAGCAGGUAAUAGUCAGUGUCACCAGACUGGCAGGUGCUGGGGAAGUUGAUUGAAAGCAACUGCCCUGCAGUGGUUGCGUGGAGAGUCAUGCAGCAGGGGGUUAGUCAGACUAGAUUUGCAAUUAGAGAAGAAAAUUCAUUAGAAUAAGUCUUGAUUUUGUUGCUUUGAUUGGGAUCUGUUUUAGUAGAUGAACCUGAUCUAUGUAAUUAGCAACGAGCUCACCUUUGAUUUAAACCUGCUGAUUCACAAAUUGCAUAUUGGUGAGAUGAGUAACUCGUGUCAACGUGCCUUUGUUCUCAGGAACAUUAGAGAGGAGUCUGUCCUGAACCUGGGGCUUUUGUUCCGGAGACCGUGCCGCCUGAAUGCUAAAUGUUGGUGUAGUCUUUUAAAACGACGCCUGUUGUUUUUAUUAGCACUCAUUGUCUCCUCUUUUCUUCUCUUUCUCGCUGUGUCAGCCUAGAACUGCAGAGGGCUGGAAUCCUUUUAGCAUUUUAACGCUUCCUUAGCAAACAUCCUGCUGUUCUAUUGUUGCCCUCCUGAAGUGUGGGAGCUCUUUUUUUUUUUUUGAGGGAAAAUAUCUCCAAACUCUAGGAGCUGUUUGCACUUGUUCGGUCACAUCUGCUUUGCUGCAGGCAUCGCUGAGUGCAAAUCUUCAGCCUUUUAACCCCAUUCUCUAGGGCAACAAUUUUGUGCUCUAGUUCUUCCAGGCUCUUAUUUGUCACCUAUUUUUCAAGGGGCACGGGGUGUAGCUUCUCUUUUGAGAAGAGCUCUGGAUGCUUUCCCUAGCAGCAAAGAGCCGUGCAGAAGUCCCCACAGGGGAACAAAACCUCCAGGGGAAAACAUCCAUGAACUAGUUUGAACUGAGAGCUCCCAAUUUCACAGUGCCUUUGGUUGGAAAAUGUAAAUGUUCAAAGAGCUGUGGCAUAAUGAAAGAUUUUCUUGUCACAGCCUCUGAAGCAAGGGAGCAGUCUCCUCUUUCCCUCCCUGUUUGCAUGGAUUGAGUUUUGGUCGCACCUAAAAACCAGCCUAGGAUGUCUGUGUCCCUUCUGGGCAGUGGACCCAAGAAGGUGGUUGUGUUUUUUGCCCCUUUGCUUUUUGCUCAGGUUACAGUUCUGAUUUGGAACCUUUGGGACCUGGGCUCUGGGCUCCUUUCAGAGAGCUCUCGGGGAGGCUUUGGGCUGUAGCCCCUCACUCCUCUCUGGCAGAAUUCUGCUCCAGUUCAGCUCACUGCCCUACAGGUUUUUGCACCACCUGAAUUUUUUUUUUUUUUUUUUUUUUUUAAGUUCAUUUCUGUGUGAUUUGGUUCCAGUUAUUCGUAAUUAUUGCCUUUUCCAGGCACUGCACUGCAGCAUUUCCAAGCUUGCUAUGAAAAAAGUGUACUUACUGAGCCUGCAGAUACAUUAUGUGGUUGUGCUGCAAACUCCUGACUUCUGCGGCCAACCCAAACGCUGGGGAAGAGGGAGCACUGAGAUCUGCCCCUCCUGCACUGACAAUCAUAAAACGUAGCACAACUGUUUGAAAUGAACUGAAUGCCUCUGAGGGAGACCGUGAUGUUUUGUCACGUGCGGAAGUGAAGACAUGGCAAUGCUGAGGUACCGAUCCCGUGAAGAGGUUCUAAUUGUGGUUGCUGUAUAGAAGUAUCAGCCUUGUUGACCUCAGGAUACCCAACCCUGCCAAUCCCUGCCGCCUUCCCUCUUUGUCUUGGUGUGGUGCAAGCAGUGAGGUCUGAGGGCUGGUCCUGCAAGGCAGCAAACACACAUGCAGAGGAGUGCCUGCUCAGCCCUUGCUGUGCUUUUUGGUGAGGUAGGAAAGAGUUAAAGACAGCAGAGGGCGAGUGCUGUGCUAUUGUUCAGGCAUUGCUCUGCAUCCAGGGCUGCUGCUCUCUAUUCCCGGAUCUGCCUCUGGCUUCCUGCACGACCUUGGGCUGCUCACCCACCUUCACUUUGCUUUAGUUCUCGAAUUGCAACAUGGAAAUCUUUCUCUUCCUGUAGUGCCACACGCCUUGCUGGCUUUAGGGAGGCUGAGUUCUCAGGUGGGAGGAGAGGGGAAGAAGAGGACACAUUUCCACUGGAGAAAUAAUUACGCAGAGCACAGUAAUUUCUGAACGCUCUCUUGUUCACUCGGGCACAGCAGAGUGCAUGGUGCUACUUGUGUUCAAGCAGGCCAAAGUCACAUUCCAUUUGUCGUCGAGCAGAGCAGUGUCAGUUGCAGUGUUCCCUUUUCUCACUAGAUGGUGCUUUUGAUCAAAGGUACGAAUAACUGCAGCGCUCCGCACAGAAUUGCUCUAUUUCUGCUCCCUGUCUCCAUUCCUCCCUCUGCUCUUUCUGUGCUGUAACACUACGGAGGACACUUAACGAUGCUGGAUGUUGGGUGAGGCUCAUCUGGCAGUGCUGCUCCCAGCUCCCACCAGCCAGCUGUGGCUGGGCUUGGGCUCUUGACGCACGGAUCGGUGCUGCCGGGCUGUGGCAGAGAAUUGAAUUCUUUCCGUGUUUUCUAUUCCCAUAAGGAAAAGGCUUCAAAGAGCAGGUCCCCUCCCCCUCUCUGCUGGUGAAGGGCAUUUAGGGAAGCUGGGGAGAAAAAAAAAAUCCAGCUCUGACAGAUGCAUUUAUUUAACAAACCACAGCCUUUCCUCACCUUAGCAGCACAUUGGUUGGUCUUGGUUUUUUGUUUGUUUGGUUUUUUUUAAAGAAGGAAUUGCUGUUUUUAUAUCUAUUUUGUAUUCAGUAGAUAGUUACCUAGCCAAGGUCAUUGCUGCUGCAUGCCAGCGCCACGCAGCCAGCCAGCUCCUCUUCCCUGAAUGAGCACCGCGAGGCUUCCGCAGGUAAAGAACAGGAGUGAAUCUGCCCACGCCAGGUCCCACGCUGCUGCAGGGAGCCACACGCGCAGCCCUCCAUGGUCUAAAAGGCAGCGAAGGAGGUGAAUGGAAUUGUAAUCAAACGCUUCCUGCGCAGACAUGCACGGGGCUCUGUUAGGAGCAGCGAGAGGCACAGCGGGGCGCGCGGUGCUGCGUGUCAUCACGCUGUGCUGCUGGAGCUCCCCCCGGCCCGCCCUCCUGCAGCUGCCUUGGGUUGCUGUGCUCAGUGCUCCCUGCAGUGCCGGUGCCCGGCUGAGCCGCACGCUGCAGACCUGCGCCCCGCUCCCAUCAGGUUGCAUCACGGCCGGCUCCCUCCCCGUGGAAUUUUACAACUGUUAAUGAAUGGGGUUGGAGCACCGCUGUGCCGCCAGGCAGCCGUUUGUGGAUUUAUGGUCGGAGAUUGAGCUCCUGCCUCUGGCACUGCACCGGUGACAGCAGUGCUGUGUGUGUGCCAGCAAGCCUGCAAGGCCAGAGCCUGCAGCAGCCCUGUGCUCACGUGCUGCGUGUUGUUCUUAUGGUGGUGACGUCCCUGCAGCAGAGACACAAGCUAUGCGUGAGAGGAGUGUGACACAAAACUGCUCUGGGGACCAGGAGCUGACAGUGAUUUCUCUGUCGUUCCCCUGUUGUCAUCUUCCCCACUGCACGUACAUUUGUUCAUCGUUAGUAAGGUACUGUUGAAGACUAAAGCCUGGGUCUGUAUCGCAGUCUGCUUGAAGGAGCAAUCGAGGACUGCAGGGCUCAGCUCAUGAGGAGUGGGGACAGUGCAUUUCCUCACGUCUAUGGGAUUUGAAGAGUCCCUCCUGACUGACAGCAAAUUGCAUCACUGCUUGUACAGAUAUUUUUCUCUGCAAUGUGCUUGUUGUGUUGUUUUCCUCCAGUGAAAUUUGCCAGCACGUCCCAAAUUGUGUGGUUCUGGAAUGGAGAAGCAACAUACCUGUGCGGGGGAGAGAAUGAGUGCUUUUUGCUUCUUUCAAUCUGGCUCUUCCCUCCCUUCUCCCCACAUCCCCAUGUGUUACAAAGCCAGCUGCUCCCAGAAUAGGUUGGGAAUGAAAUGUCACCGUUUGAAACUGGAGGAUGGCAAAACCCGCUGCAAACUUCAGCUGUCUGCUGGAACAUACCUGCUGCAGCCACAUCCCAGCGCCUUCCCGACAGGACUGGGUCGUAUCUGACAGCGAACCUACAGUGACUCUCUUAAUUAAGUCUCCCUGCACUGCUGUGAGGUAUGUAAUUACAGUGAGACCUGACUUAAGCAACCACACGAGGGACUAACAACAGGAAAAAAAAACCUCUUUACCAGAGCAAGGAGGAGCAGAAUUAUACUGUUGCUUUUUUUAUAAAUAUAUAUAUAUAUUUCAGGGGAAGUUUAUGAAACAAAGUAAGUCAGUUAGUCUGGUUUCUUCUCAGUGUAUCCCAGUAGGGAUGAUACCUAGGAUGAUACCUUUAAUGUACUGUAUGUUAAUAUAAGCAGGCUAUUUCCUUCCAAAAAGAUCCUUGAGAUUGUUUAUUUGUUUUAAUAGAGAUUUCUGUGAAAAGCAUCAAUUAAUACAAAUGGUAACAGUGGUCUUGUGAGAUGAGCUGUUGUUACCAGAAGCUGAGCAGUGGUUCUCACUUCCCAACCCUGUCCAGGGGUAGGAAUGUUUAUUCAAAGGGUGACAUGCAGGAUUCCUGCUGCAGCCCUUGGCAGCCGUGCAUCUCCACACUGUGCAUGGCAGCCCUGCCUUGUAGGUGCUGAGUUGUGCACGUUGAGCCGAGCACCACUGGUCUGUGCCCAGUGCUGGCAGUGGCAGGUUGGGCUUUGUGCUGCCAUUCCCAUCUUGCCUGCCAGCUAGCUGGCUGUUAAUAUCCUGAGCAGCCGACUGCGGUGGCCACAGAGAAGUCGUGCAACUCAUCUUACAGCCUCUGCUUCGGCCUUACUGACCUCCAGCCGAAGGGCAGGUGGAAGCUGGAGACAGCAAUACCACGAAUGGUCGCGUGGUGAGCCAGCUGCAGUCCUCUUGAGUCCCCAUUCAGUGGGGUGCUGAAUACAUGCAGUGAGUAAAGCUCCCCACUUACAGGCUGAGCGACGCAGGCAGCUUGCUGGGGAGUUUGCAGGAGUAAGCCUUAGGGAAUUUGGUGCCAUCUCUGUCUGUUUCACUUUAGAAAACUGAGCUAGUAACAGGAAUUUAUGAAGUGUGCAUUUAUAUCUCAAAUUUUAGGUAGUGUUAACUAGAAGCCCACAUACUGUCGUCACCGGAUUUGGCAAAGAAAAACCCCAACAAACCAACACAACACUGGCUGCAGAAGAUUUGCUGCAGAGCUUAAGAUUUCAUUUAAGACAAAAUAAAGCAAACCCUGUGCAUCAUGGCCUUAGAGACAACCUUGGGAAGUCAGAUCUGGGUGCCGUUCCACAUGCCUAUUUCUCAGCAGCAUAGCCUGUUUAUCUGCCCCACUCUUUAUCUUUGUUGCCCUUUUUUCUCAUCUCGGAGAACUUCAGUGAGUUUCCUUCUGCUGUGGUCGGUGAGUUGAACCAGCAGUGCUGCAGGGUACUUUGCCUCUCCAGAUGCUGAAUGAGGAUUCCUGUUAGCUUACAGGCUCUAGCAGAUAACUACCCAAGAUAAUGUUGGGUGCAAUUGGUUCAAGUACGCCCUAUUGAAAAGCAGCUUAUUUCCAAGAAUGAAGUUAGCAUAAUUUCAAACCGAGCAACGAAAGAUGAAUUGAGCACACAGCUCCAAUGCUGAAUUCAAUAAGCAUUUGAAAUUUCAAAGGUACGUGAUUUUUUUCCUUUAAAACUUCAUGGGUUUUUGCCCAAAUCAAAGGAUUUUGGUGGACUGCUUACUGUGGGAUUUUCCAGGCUGCCUGAGGCCAUGCAUUCUCAGCUCCUGAGCCUCAGCACAACUCACACCUAAGGAUGGAACUCUCCCUAACGUGAACAAGCAUUUCAGCUCAUUGGGACAAGCCAGUAUUACUACUGAGUUGGUUUGGGCAAAAUAAAUAAAUAAGGAGGGGAGGUGGUGACCAAAAUGACGUGGUUGGACACUCAUUAGCAAAGCAUUGUCAGGGAACAAUAGAAGAACAGACAAAAGUCAGCCCAGAUUCUGUGGUAUUUCCUCAAGGGCUCCCUCUGGCACACGGCUGCUCCCUGCCAAUCCUUCCGUAUUGUUUUUGAUAAUGAAUAGAAGCUGAACAGAUGAUUGUUGUAUUGUCCACUAAGUGAUUCAUUUACAUUAAAUACUGCUCAAAAGGAGGCUUUGGGUAGACUUUUUUUAGUCACUCCAGUUAUUUAUUUGUACAAUUUAAUUACCAUCUUUUAAUUCUCCACUGUACAUAAUUAUUUCCUGAUUGCUUUGGCUAAAUUACAGGGGUUGUAACUCCUCAGAAGUCAGUGGUCCAACAAGCCCUGACAUCAGCAGCAGCAUCUCUGCAUUUUCAGAGAGGAUUAAGUUCUCUACAGUCACCUGUAGAGAGCCACUCUUUCUUGGGGAAGGUGCUGAGGUUCUGCAGCAUCUGUCUGCAGGUGCCUUAUGCCCCUGCUGCCUGGCUCUGAACAGCAGUUUGGCGCAAACUUUGCUGCAUAAACCAUCAUGGUUUCAUUGAUUUCCUCACUAAUCUCCCAUCUGUGUGUCUUCACCAGAUUUUCUUCUUUAACCCAGGCUUUCCAUUGCAAUUUCAGGCUUUUCUUAUGGAUGGUCAAAAGCGUUGAGUAGUUUCAUUUUGUUUGGAAAGGUGUGACAGAUGUGAGAAGUUUAAGGCUUAUUGAAGCUACAGUUGGAAGAACUUCGCUGUCAGAAGGUGUUUAGUCCUAAAUCCACAUCCAGAACUACAGGUGAGACGUGGAAAAAGACUGACUCUUUGCAGUCAGUUUCCCAUGAACUCCUAAGUCAAAAGAGCAUGGAGGGCAAGAGUGUGCCAGUAUCCCUGUAGCCUUACAGAUGUGAAAGGCUGCACUGAAGCUCUGCCAUUCUCUGCUGCUGGAGUUGCUGAACCUGAGCAGAAGUUCCAGAUGGCUUCCAAAGGAUUCAGCUUCUGAGCAUGUUCCAUCUCUUUUACCCUGCUUUGGGAAACUGCCUUUAAUGGGUCUGCGUUUAAAGCAAAUAUCAUCUCCUUGUGCUUUGUCUUCUUUUGGGCUCUAUGUAAUCGUUUGAAACCCAGAUAAAACUCGGCAGGCACACAAGCGAAGCCAGCCAUCCUCCUGCCAUAAACCACAACUGCCUCUAUUGCCAGUGCUUCCCCUGCUGCCUUCCACUUUAACCCUGCAGCACUGCUCUCCUUGUGUUCUUGCUCUCCCCGGAGCCACACUGCUCUGUGUUUAGUGGCAGGCGAUGAAACCAUGCAUUAGCAGCUCCAUAAUAGCUUUGCUCAGUGGAACCCAGCUUCCUUCACUAAUCCAGAAAAUGAGAGUUGUUUUUGUACAUCUGAGAAGCUAAUUAUUUAAGUGCUGAGAAUUAAGGCUCAUCAGAUAGUGGAGACUGAUUUUGCUUUUGUUUCCCAGGGGAAGAAGAAGAUGGAAGGAAGCUGCUCUCACACAGGUGUGCAGCAUGGUAGCUCCCCAGUACUUGGGGUGGGGAGCAGCAGUGUACAGGUCCCUUUCUAGAGCCUCUCUUCAUAUGUUUCCUCUCUCUCAGACAUCAUCUGAUGGUUUUCCCCAUUUGAAUAGACUUUGAAAGUAUCUUCUGGUCAAAUAACGUGAUAGCUUUAUUUUUAUGGCCAUGACAAAGAUGGACCCCGUUUGUGGCUGACCCGGCCUGGAUAUUUUGCAAUAAAACCCUUGUCUCAGGGUUUUUAGAGAGGGAAAGUAGCUCACAUCAGUUGUCCUCCUGUGAUCAGUUAUCUUUCAGCCUUACCUUUGAUCACAAAAGCUGAGUGGGAUUUAGAUGCUGCUAUCUAACCUAGAAAUGGACCUUGCAGUGGCUUGGAAAACAGGAGAUGAAUGGGGUGAAAACCCCCCUGUGUCUGUGGGAAACCACAGAUGAGGGCUGAUAUGAUAAACAAAGGUUUUACAGCACAGUGACUUUUACAAGUGAAUGGCCAAUAGCUGUAUGGUACAGAACGGAGAGGUGGUUCUGGUGGUUGCACUGGAUGGACCCCUCCUUGUUAAAAGCAGCUUGCCAGGAAUAAAUGUCUUGUUUUUUAAUGAGAUCGACAAUGCUGUGCUGUCUUCAGAGACUGAGGAAGUGAACUUUUCUGUGUGGUUGAAGUCAGAUGUUACAGGAUUGUCUGGACGUAGCUGACUUGACAAAUAGCAGGGGUGACAUUUUAGCUCCAUGUAAGUCAGUGGCAAAAUUCCUGUUGAACUCAACUGGGGCCAAGAUUUCAUCCCAUGAUGGUGCCAAAGGGAAAUCUAAGAAAUGAUCCUCAGAAAAAUAAGUGCAGGCAUUCUGCUUUUCUAGGACUGUUUUUUUUACCUAAGGGGCACGAAUCCUUGGAAUUCCAUGCACUGCUUUGGAGAGACCUGCAAAAGAUCACGAAGACAAGCAAGUGUAUUGUCAAUAGGUUUAAAUUAGAAAUACAGGGGCCUGUGAUUCCAAGGGAAAACUUUCAGAAGUCGAUUAUGAAACGUUAAGUCAGCUCAGCCCACUGAAAUCCACCUAUCUUUGUGCUCCAUGGACUGACAAGCAUCCUUCUGGCCAGACCUGUGCAGCUGGACUGGUUGCCACUGAGCGUUGUGGAUUGAAGCAGCUGCUCCACCCCCCCUGCUCAGAUGUAGGCAGGGGGAAGCCUCUAAUCUGGCGGAUGCUUUUAGCAAUGGACUGGACUGAAAACAAAAUCUUUGUUUUAGAGAGGGUGGUGGAGCUGGGACCAUAUAAAUCUGUUUUGCUGCGAGGUCAGUGAUUGAUUAAUGCUGGAAGUGCCACCUUGGGAUGGCAAGGAUUGAGGAUACAGCCGCUUUUCUUCCCCAUGUGGAGGCACACUGCAUCUUCCCAGCUGAGCUAUCAUGUAACACAGAUGACUCUCUGGAGGAAGACUUAGCUGCACGUUUGCAGUAUGUUUUAGCUACUAUCAACAUUUAUAUUCCAUUGUCAUUUGGGGGUAAGCACUAGUUAGCAUAAUCAUCAGUGCUUUAAAAUUAAAAAUUCCUCCAAGAGAUGCAGGAGGGAUUGAAAUGGUUUUCUGCCCCCAGAGGCAAAUCCUUUCCCAAGCUAUCUGCUGCACCAAAAGGUUUUAUUCUAGAAACAUUCCCAAGCCGUGCCCAAGAGUAAAUUAAACUACAGCAAACUUAUAAACUCUCGUGUGUGUAUGUAGCAAGCAGGCCCUGAUCUAGCAAAUUACUACAUGACUAAAUGUAACUAUUUUCUGUUCCUAUUUUGGAACUGAUGUGCUUUGCUGCCGUGCCACCUUCACUGUAUGGCAGCCACAAUCAGGAGGUAUUUGUAGAGUAUGAAAUUUUAAUUCUUCACAGGAAAGAUUCUGGUGUCUUCACCAGAUGGAAAGCAAAGGGCUUGAUGACACUGAUACCUUCUGGAGCUUGGUUCAGGCUCCCUGGUAAGGAAUUGGCUUCAGAAAAUAUUAAGAGCCAUUCUUUUUCUGUGUAAUUUUAGAAUGGAUUUCUGCUUUGGUACCAAAGCGAUUCGUUGUCAGAGUGAACCUGAAAUGAGAUUUCUGGCUCAAAAAGCUCCCUCUCUUUCUGGAGAACAAGAUGCCAGAAAAACUAUGGGGGGACCUUUAAGUUUGAAAGGCAUCGUCUGUUAUCUGUGGAAAUGUGCCUAGGAGUCAAUCUUAAAAUUUCAACAUUCAUCCUUUGGGAUGUGAUGGAGAACCUCAGGUGACAGUAUUUGUGGUUAAGGAUGGAUUUUGUGCUUGUGGGUUAUCUUUGAGAAUGCUUCACCAAUCCCAGCAGCUCCUCGGGGUGGGCCAUGGAACUUCAGGAAGCAGGGAUGGUUGACUGUUGUAAUUGUUUCUGAUCUGUCCAGAGAGAAAAAAUGGUAUGUUCCAAAGGAAGUAUUUAUUUGUGAGUAGAACAAAUUGCAGGUGUUCUCCCUUCUUAAAAUGAAAGAAUUAUGAUUUAUAAAGACAUGAUUAUUUUUAUUUCUGAAUAACACAAACGCUGCUGCACCUUACAUAGAGUAAACAUGAUGACUUUGCAAGAAAGAGCUGCAAAGAAAUCUCAGCAAAAACUUCGGUAUCUGCAAAGCUUUGAACACAUCUAUUGUCUUUUUGAUAUCCUGUUUCUUCGGAGAGAUGGACUUAAAUUUCACAGACAGAAUUUCUCUCUUUUAUCUUUAUCUCCUGUUUUGAUAUAGCUAUGGAGAAAAGCCCAAGAUCAGUAAUAGCAAGUUCUUGCAGAAUAAGAAUAACCCUCUACUUGGGUUUAGACUGUAGUAAUAUUGGGGGUUUCGUUUAAUUGGAAGAUACUCAGAUUCAUUAGAAUAAAUACUGUGUGCUGUUAAGACGUUAAUUACCCAU